This 72-nucleotide transfer RNA is filed under the name Camelus bactrianus (Bactrian camel). It matches the Rfam family "tRNA". From Rfam's summary of the family: Transfer RNA (tRNA) molecules are approximately 80 nucleotides in length. Lineage: Eukaryota; Metazoa; Chordata; Mammalia; Artiodactyla; Camelidae. RNAcentral also lists the same sequence under 2 other names. The record is from Rfam by way of RNAcentral.
GAGGGUAUAGCUCAAGUGGUAGAGUGCAUGCUUAGCAUGCACGAGGUCCUGGGUUCAAUCCCCAGUACCUCA